AGUCAGCUGACGAGUCCUAAAUGGGACGAAACGCAUGUCCUGGAU
This is a non-coding RNA of Schistosoma mansoni, 45 nucleotides long. Lineage: Eukaryota; Metazoa; Platyhelminthes; Trematoda; Strigeidida; Schistosomatidae. The record is from Rfam.